This 377-nucleotide ribosomal RNA is filed under the name uncultured bacterium. RNAcentral's name for it is "bacterial SSU rRNA". It matches the Rfam family "Bacterial small subunit ribosomal RNA", at positions 282 to 671 of the family's 1533-position model. The record is from RNAcentral.
GGUAGCCGGCCUGAGAGGGUGUCCGGCCACACUGGGACUGAGAUACGGCCCAGACUCCUACGGGAGGCAGCAGUGGGGAAUAUUGCACAAUGGGCGCAAGCCUGAUGCAGCGACGCCGCGUGGGGGAUGACGGCCUUCGGGUUGUAAACCUCUUUCAAUAGGGACGAAGCGCAAGUGACGGUACCUAUAGAAGAAGCACCGGCCAACUACGUGCCAGCAGCCGCGGUAAUACGUAGGGUGCGAGCGUUGUCCGGAAUUACUGGGCGUAAAGAGCUCGUAGGUGGUUUGUCGCGUUGUCCGUGAAAUUUCACAACUCAAUUGUGAGCGUGCGGGCGAUACGGGCAGACUGGAGUACUGCRGGGGAGACUGGAAUUCCU